AUGACCUUGGUGAAGGCAGUCCUUACGGCGGUGGCCAUUUAUCACAUCACGCCGCUCGACAUCCCGGUGGAGGUUCUAAAAGCGAUUGACAAGUUGCGGCGUGCCUACCUCUGGGCAGGAUCUGACACGGUUAGUGGCGGCAAGUGCAAGAUUAAGUGGGAGCAUGUCUGCAAG
RNAcentral lists this ribosomal RNA (174 nucleotides) under Triticum aestivum (bread wheat). Its description in RNAcentral is "partial small subunit ribosomal RNA". Lineage: Eukaryota; Viridiplantae; Streptophyta; Magnoliopsida; Poales; Poaceae. The record is from RNAcentral.